Molecule: long non-coding RNA, 504 nt
Filed under: Triticum aestivum (bread wheat)
Lineage: Eukaryota; Viridiplantae; Streptophyta; Magnoliopsida; Poales; Poaceae
Description: long non-coding RNA (TAES_LNC003885)
Source: RNAcentral
UUGUUAUUUCUCCAACCCUGAGGAAUAGAUAGAUAAAUAUGAUGAGCAAUGAAGCAUUCAUUCUUUGAGCAUGGAUGGCACACGUGCGGUCCAUACCCGCCCUAGUACAUACCCAGAACUUCAGAUCAUGGCAAGGUAAUUAUCAGCUAUACAUUGACAGCUAGGGGUCAGUCCUCAUUACUAAUCUUCUUGUGACUGCAUUUGAAGAAGAUGCUUACAAUGCUGAUUGUUUCCCUUUUCAUCUGACAGAAGGAAGCAACAAGGAAAUUGCUGGCAUCAGGGUUAGCAGUUAACAAUGUUAAGAUGCUGCAAGUAUUAAAUGGGUAGACAGAUUUUUAUGUUAUUUAUUUUCACCUGAGAGAAGGAAGCAGCCGAGAAAUCGGCGGCGCCUGAGUUAACAAUGUCAAGAUGCUGCAACCUGCAACUUCAAGUAUGAAAUGAGUAACAUAUACCCAAUUGCUAAGUUGAGACUUCAGAAUAAGAAUGACAGCAUAUGCAUACGAG